CUCUCCUGAUGGCCCCAGGAGGAUAAAAGCCAGAAGGAUUAUCUAGACUCAUUCAAAAAAAAUUCUGCCCUCUUCUCUGAGUUCCUCUGAUGGCUGAGGGUGAGUCUCCUUGUGGCUCUUCCUCCUCCAUGACGCUCUUAUUGACCAGCGCUCCUCGGGGUCUGUGCUCCUGACCAUGGUGUGUCACCACAGCUGGGUGAAGCCCCCACCUCACAAAUGUCUUUGUUGUCACUGCAGCUACUCUCUCAUGAGGUCUCAGACAGACAUUUGGGAGCAUUGGCCCUUGCAGUGUGAGUGAGGCAGAGAGGGUGUGACCUGCCUCAGCACCCGGAGACCCCACUCUGAAGGCUGGGGACCACCACUGUGGCGGUUUCUCCCACCACCAUCAUCUCCCCAUCGCCAGGACAAGCACAUCAGGAGGAUAUGGCUCUGAUCUGAGUGAGGCAAUGGUAGCAUAGGUGUGGAGAGAAGACCUAUUGGGAAUCUGGGAGCGAGGAAUGAAAGAUGAGUUUAUGACUCAAGGAAUGCAGGGAUACCAGCAGAUGCCCACAUCCCUGCGGUUCUUUCUCUGUCAGUAUCCUUGGAGGGAAGUUUUCUCUGUCAGUCAUCUUAGAAGGAGAACUUGGACACGGUGGCUUUGGAUUAGGAGGUAAACAUCGGACAGGAGAGCUGAGAAGAGUGAAAUCCCAAGGCGCAGGUCACAGGAGCUCAACAAAUCUGUGACUUCAUCUCACCAGGCCCUCCCUGAGAAACUCUGGAGAAAGGGUAGCCAGCCACUCCUCUGUAGACCCAACUCCCUGGGUCCUGGUCCCUGGAGAAGCUGCACCAGAGUGCCAUGGUGACAGCGGUCACGUGAGAGAUGUAGGCCCCCACCUCUGCACCCCGAGGACUCCCUGUACCACAGGUAGAAGGAGGUUUGGGAGCAGGACCCCUGGGCUUUCAUGCAGGGCCUCUUAAUUGUCUUGGGGACAGACACAGCUGAGGGAUGGUGUUUCUGAUUUCAGCCCUCCACAAAGGGCUAGUCUAGCCCAGCCUGGGGGGGAAGCUUAGGGGGAGCGGCUACAAGACCAAAGGGGAGGAAACACCAGAAGCCACAGAGGAAGGAACAGGUGCUGAGAGAGAGAAAUGCUGCUGGCCUCCAGGCAACAAUCAAAAUUAAGGAAAUGCUCAAAUAAAUGACAGGAUGGGGGCAUCUGGAAAGAACACAGGAACCAACCUGGGGGAGCCCUCAGUGGCCAAAGCUGGAACAAUCUGAGCAAUACAAUAAAUAAUGUAGUGUUGGGUUGUUACCCAAAACAUAAAAAUUGAUGUUUGAAUAAGUAAGUAAAUGGGGGGAGGGGAUCCUCCUUUCCCAAAAAUUUCAUUUAUCUUAUGUAGAUAUUCCUCCUGGGGGGUGGAGCUUCUUUGUUCCCUUUCCACACAUGAGAAUGAACUUGACUUAGUGACUGAACUCCAAAGAACAGAGUUUGGAAAGGCAAAAAUAGUAAUACUAGGGACGCCUGGUUGGUUCAGUCGGCUAAGUGUCUGACUUGGGCUCAGGUCUUGAUCUCACAGCUCUCUGCUCUCAGUGUGGAACCUGCUUCAGUUCCGUUUGUCUCCCUCUCUUUCUGUCCUUCCCCAGCUCAUGCUUUCUCUCUGUCUCAAAAACAAAAAAUACAAAAAAUAGUAAUAUUACCAUGGAGAAACUGUGUACCUUAGCCAUGUGAUCAAGGUAAACAUCACCAGUGAUGUGUAGAUUUAUGUGCUACCUGCUAUGACGCAAAGAGAAGCCACUUCACCUCUGUGGUAUUCUUUCCAGAGGCUCAGAGCUCUAGUCUAGUCAUGAGAAAAUGUCAGUCAAACUGAAAUUGAGUGGUAUCCUAUGAAAUACCUGACCAGUAUUGCUCAAGGUAUUCACACAAGGAAAGCCUGAAAAACUGUCACAGACUGGGGAAGACUCAGGGACAGGAUAACUAAAUGCAGUGUGAUUCCCUGGAUUGGAUCCUGGAGGAGAAAGAGGACAUUAACAGAAAAAUCCAGUGAAAUCCAGAGUUUAUUUAGCAGAAAUGUCCCAAUAUUUGUCUCUCAGUUUUGACAAUGUAUCAUAUAUUGACCUACAUAAAAAGGUAAACUGAGGUGAGCUCAAAUUACGAGAAACUGGGUUUAUUCGGAAUGAAUGGAGGAAUUGCCUUUCAGGAAAUGCAUGCUAUAGCAAGCUACAGGCGUGUCUUCUGAGAGUUUGGGCAGACUAAUUUAUGGGUGAGGGGUGCAAAGAGAAGGCAGUCCAGCCAGAGUCCAAGCAGUAAGUUCGUUGGCUUGAGGAUGGGGAGAUGAUCUUUGUGGAUGUUCAUUGGUCAGGACAUAAGUCUCAGUCUUCUGUAAAUUGGGCAUUUAUGGGAAAACAGUCUUUCAGUUCCUAAGUUCCAUUCUUUUUUUUUUUUUUUUUUUUUUUUUUUUAAUUUUUAAGGUUUAUUCAUUUUCAGAGACAGAGAGACAGAGGGUGAGUGGGGGAGGGGCAGAGGGAGAGGUAGACACAGAAUCUGAAACAGGCUCCAGGCUCUGAGCUGUCAGCACAGAGCCUGAUGGGGGGCCCGAACUCACAGAAGGCUUGAUCAUGACCUGAGCGGAAGUUGGACGCUCAACCGACUGAGCCACCCACGCGCCCCCCUAAGUUCCAUUCUUCUGAAGGUGCACACAUGAGAUUCGCCAAUUCAUAUCCUCCAGUUCCAUUUUAGAUUGGAACCCUUCACACAUGUAAUGUAACAUGAUAACAUCAGGGGAGACCGAAACUGGGUGAGGGGUGUACAGGAGCUCUCUAUACUAUUUUCACAAUUUUUCUCGAAAUCUGAAAUUAUUCCAAAUAACAAGCUUAUUAAAAAUAUAUAUCUAGGAGAUUAUU
Molecule: long non-coding RNA, 2878 nt
Organism: Acinonyx jubatus (cheetah)
Lineage: Eukaryota; Metazoa; Chordata; Mammalia; Carnivora; Felidae
Exons: 3
Source: RefSeq, a predicted model, not a curated record